Molecule: long non-coding RNA, 540 nt
Organism: Aquila chrysaetos chrysaetos
Lineage: Eukaryota; Metazoa; Chordata; Aves; Accipitriformes; Accipitridae
Exons: 4
Source: RefSeq, a predicted model, not a curated record
AUCUCCCCGAUCCAGUACGGGUUUACACCUGUCAGACGUGGAGAGAGAGGCUGGGUUAUUUCUUGAGCAUUGGACACUUCUGCACAUUCAUUUUGCCAGAUUGUCUGCUAUUAAUGAGGAGUGUCUGAAUUUUACGAAGCCUCUUUUGUUCAUGAAUAGUGCUUCUAGUGAGUAACAGGGGCUUUGCCACCAAGCACUUCAAGACUCUGGGAGAACUUGUAUCUGCAUUAUAAUAUCCACUCAUUGCUGUGAAAACAAAAUGAAGAAAGUCUGUGGGAGUGCAUUAUAAGCAAAAUUCGUCUUUAAGCUGAAUCUACUUGGCUGAAAGAUAAAAAUCAAAGGUGGAGUUCAAGAGCCUUCUUGAAUGCAUUUUUGUCACAGGCCACCUGAAAAUUGCUGAUUUUGUGAGAAGCAAACUGUAAAGGAGAUCUGCUUGUUUAUACACUGACAAGCUGGCUUUCCAGCUCUGUCCAUACCAGACUAAGUGCAACUCAUCUUGGAACCUAAGUGGUCUGGGAGCUGGCUGAACAGAUGACAGAC